UACGUAGGGGGCAAGCGUUGUCCGGAAUCAUUGGGCGUAAAGCGCGUGUAGGCGGCUUCGUCAGUCCGUUGUGAAAGUCCAGGGCUCAACCCUGGAAUGCCGAUGGAUACUGCGGAGCUCGAGUCCGGAAGAGGCGAGUGGAAUUCCUGGUGUAGCGGUGAAAUGCGCAGAUAUCAGGAGGAACACCAAUGGCGAAGGCAGCGCGCUGGGACGGUACUGACGCUGAGACGCGAAAGCGUGGGGAGCAAACAGG
Molecule: ribosomal RNA, 253 nt
Filed under: uncultured bacterium
Lineage: Bacteria
Description: partial 16S ribosomal RNA
Rfam family: Bacterial small subunit ribosomal RNA
Source: RNAcentral